UAUCAAUGAAGCAAGCAUUAGUUUUGAUUUUAGGGAUCAGUAGCUUCAAUUUUGGUUUAUUAACAAGCGUCCAUUUGGCGCAUAAAUUGCAAGGAAGGUUCACAUCACUGCAUUGGUUACUUAAAAGGAGUAUGGAUACAUGUGAAAAAAAACAAAUAAAAGAAAUUUGUACUGGAUAAUUUGUCUUUGUGCCAAAAUCAUGAGUUGCUUAGGUGAAAUACAAAUCUGUUUUUAUUA
Long non-coding RNA from Prunus dulcis (almond), 237 nucleotides. RefSeq lists it as uncharacterized. NCBI's taxonomy places the organism in Eukaryota, Viridiplantae, Streptophyta, Magnoliopsida, Rosales, Rosaceae. The record is from RefSeq and is a predicted model, not a curated record. The transcript is spliced from 3 exons.